GAAAGGUGGGUGGGGGGAGUAAAUAGGGAAUGGGGGGGAACAACAAGGCAGGGCGUUGGAAACAAAUCAUCAUUUUUCUUGGCAUGAGCAGCUAGGAGAAAGCAAGAGGAGCAGCAAGGAGCACCGGCAUCAUCAUUUAGGCCAGGGCACAUUGAUGAAUGAAGUGCGUAGUGGUUGAAAGGCCAAAGGGCAGGACGCAUUAAAAAUGCACACGCAAUCAGAAAAUUCCUCACGACGGACUCAUAAAGCGACUCCUGGCUCCGACAACCCGACAAACCCGUCGACUCCAACUCCGACUCCGACUCCAACGCCGACUUCAGGUGAUGGAUCAGCAGCUACAGAUGAGACAGACGACUACAGAAUACAGAAGCACCCGGAGAAGUAGCCGGAGCAGCAGUUGGGCUAAUGACGGCCUUUCAAGGCAAUUACCCAGUGCUGCUGCCGUGGCUAGGAUGGGUUCCGACAGCACCUUCGCAACGUUUCGGGUUGACUUCGAGCCUAUCCGCUGAGCAUGGGUCCGGUCCAUCCGCUUACUAGGUCAACCCGACCUUCCCCGUACCCGUACCCUUUCCCGGGACCAAGUCAUAUAUUACAGCGCCGGCACCUUGGAGCGCGACGCUUCGCUCCACAUAGCAUCGCAUAGCAUCGUCGGGGAUAUUUUCUUUGACACGGCCAACAUUCUGGCACGUUCGCAUCGAGCAAACACCCAUCGAGAGCUCGUGUAUGUGCUUGGUCUGCGGCUGUUGAUGUUACGGAUGUGCUGACCCACAGAUACGAGUAUGCACAGAUUUUCUUCCGUUCGCAGAGGUACUUUCGCUCUUUCCGGUUGGUAUUGGAUCUGUGGGCAAGGAUGAGGCUGUGGCUGUGGCUGAGGAUGAGGUUGAGCACGGCGAUGAUGAUGGUACACUUCCAUACAAGGCAUUGUAGAUUUGUAUUAAAAUUCAAGCUCUUUCAUGUUAUUAAUAUUCCAUUGCGUAUUCGCGCGAGAAUAUAUUCCAUUUUUAAUAACACGAAA
Long non-coding RNA from Drosophila pseudoobscura, 1015 nucleotides. RefSeq lists it as uncharacterized. Lineage: Eukaryota; Metazoa; Arthropoda; Insecta; Diptera; Drosophilidae. The transcript has 2 exons. The record is from RefSeq and is a predicted model, not a curated record.